RNAcentral lists this ribosomal RNA (991 nucleotides) under Klebsiella pneumoniae. RNAcentral's name for it is "partial 23S ribosomal RNA". It matches the Rfam family "Bacterial large subunit ribosomal RNA", at positions 659 to 1650 of the family's 2925-position model. Lineage: Bacteria; Pseudomonadati; Pseudomonadota; Gammaproteobacteria; Enterobacterales; Enterobacteriaceae. The record is from RNAcentral.
AGGGGAGCCGCAGGGAAACCGAGUCUUAACUGGGCGUUAAGUUGCAGGGUAUAGACCCGAAACCCGGUGAUCUAGCCAUGGGCAGGUUGAAGGUUGGGUAACACUAACUGGAGGACCGAACCGACUAAUGUUGAAAAAUUAGCGGAUGACUUGUGGCUGGGGGGGAAAGGCCAAUCAAACCGGGAGAUAGCUGGUUCUCCCCGAAAGCUAUUUAGGUAGCGCCUCGUGAACUCAUCUUCGGGGGUAGAGCACUGUUUCGGCUAGGGGGUCAUCCCGACUUACCAACCCGAUGCAAACUACGAAUACCGAAGAAUGUUAUCACGGGAGACACACGGCGGGUGCUAACGUCCGUCGUGAAGAGGGAAACAACCCAGACCGCCAGCUAAGGUCCCAAAGUCAUGGUUAAGUGGGAAACGAUGUGGGAAGGCACAGACAGCCAGGAUGUUGGCUUAGAAGCAGCCAUCAUUUAAAGAAAGCGUAAUAGCUCACUGGUCGAGUCGGCCUGCGCGGAAGAUGUAACGGGGCUAAACCAUGCACCGAAGCUGCGGCAGCGACACUAUGUGUUGUUGGGUAGGGGAGCGUUCUGUAAGCCUGCGAAGGUGACCUGUGAGGGUUGCUGGAGGUAUCAGAAGUGCGAAUGCUGACAUAAGUAACGAUAAAGCGGGUGAAAAGCCCGCUCGCCGGAAGACCAAGGGUUCCUGUCCAACGUUAAUCGGGGCAGGGUGAGUCGACCCCUAAGGCGAGGCCGAAAGGCGUAGUCGAUGGGAAACAGGUUAAUAUUCCUGUACUUGGUGUUACUGCGAAGGGGGGACGGAGAAGGCUAUGUUAGCCGGGCGACGGUUGUCCCGGUUUAAGCAUGUAGGCUGGUUAUCCAGGCAAAUCCGGAUAAUCAAGGCUGAGGUGUGAUGACGAGGCACUACGGUGCUGAAGUAACAAAUGCCCUGCUUCCAGGAAAAGCCUCUAAGCAUCAGGUAACAUCAAAUCGUACCCC